RNAcentral lists this ribosomal RNA (468 nucleotides) under uncultured bacterium. RNAcentral describes it as "partial 16S ribosomal RNA". It matches the Rfam family "Bacterial small subunit ribosomal RNA", at positions 28 to 507 of the family's 1533-position model. The record is from RNAcentral.
GACGAACGCUGGCGGCGUGCUUAACACAUGCAAGUCGAACGGAAAGGCCCUGCUUUUGUGGGGUGCUCGAGUGGCGAACGGGUGAGUAACACGUGAGUAACCUGCCCUUGACUUUGGGAUAACUUCAGGAAACUGGGGCUAAUACCGGAUAGGAGCUCCUGCUGCAUGGUGGGGGUUGGAAAGUUUCGGCGGUUGGGGAUGGACUCGCGGCUUAUCAGCUUGUUGGUGGGGUAGUGGCUGACCAAGGCUUUGACGGGUAGCCGGCCUGGGAGGGUGACCGGCCACAUUGGGACUGAGAUACGGCCCAGACUCCUACGGGAGGCAGCAGUGGGGAAUAUUGCACAAUGGGCGGAAGCCUGAUGCAGCAACGCCGCGUGCGGGAUGACGGCCUUCGGGUUGUAAACCGCUUUCGCCUGUGACGAAGCGUGAGUGACGGUAAUGGGUAAAGAAGCACCGGCUAACUACGUG